CGUCCCCUAUUUAUACAACCAGAUGAGGCACCAAUAGAGAAGGCAUGCCUCAUCUGGAAUAGUAUAUCAAAUCCUCGUAUCACAUAUCUGAGAGUCUUUAAACAAAGGACUCUUCAGGGUGUGAUACGUCGAUUUCAGCCUUCUCACACAUGCACGCCCAGAAUGAGAUGCUUUUUGCAUCUCUUCUUACUUCAGAUUAGUGUGAAAUUUUGCCAUAUAAACCUUUGUUCAAAUAGAAAGGGCAUCA
Molecule: long non-coding RNA, 247 nt
Filed under: Elaeis guineensis (African oil palm)
Lineage: Eukaryota; Viridiplantae; Streptophyta; Magnoliopsida; Arecales; Arecaceae
Description: long non-coding RNA (EGUI_LNC068210)
Source: RNAcentral